AGAAUUGAAGGUCGAGGCGACGGU
This 24-nucleotide non-coding RNA is filed under the name Arabidopsis thaliana (thale cress). Lineage: Eukaryota; Viridiplantae; Streptophyta; Magnoliopsida; Brassicales; Brassicaceae. The record is from RNAcentral.